This 497-nucleotide ribosomal RNA is filed under the name uncultured bacterium. Its description in RNAcentral is "partial 16S ribosomal RNA". It matches the Rfam family "Bacterial small subunit ribosomal RNA", at positions 28 to 507 of the family's 1533-position model. The record is from RNAcentral.
GAUGAACGCUGGCGGCGUGCCUAAUACAUGCAAGUCGAGCGAACAGACGAGGAGCUUGCUCCUCUGACGUUAGCGGCGGACGGGUGAGUAACACGUGGAUAACCUACCUAUAAGACUGGGAUAACUUCGGGAAACCGGAGCUAAUACCGGAUAAUAUAUUGAACCGCAUGGUUCAAUAGUGAAAGACGGUUUUGCUGUCACUUCUAGAUGGAUCCGCGCCGCAUUAGCUAGUUGGUAAGGUAACGGCUUACCAAGGCAACGAUGCGUAGCCGACCUGAGAGGGUGAACGGCCACACGGGAACUGAGACACGGUGCAGACUCCGAAGGGAGGCAGCAGUAGGGAAUCUUCCGCAAGGGGCGAAAGCCUGACGGAGCAACGCCGCGUGAGUGAUGAAGGUCUUCGGAUCGUAAAACUAUGUUAUUAGGGAAGAACAAAUGUGUAAGUAACUAUGCACGUCUUGACGGUACCUAAUCAGAAAGCCACGGCUAACUACGUG